ACUUCAAAGAAUCGAAAAUAGUUAACCAACUUAAAUGCUGACAGAGCUUGGAUUUGAUCCGUCACAUCACUAUCUCUCCUCUCCACUUGGCUCAUCAUAUCAUCAUCACAUGUCGAAUUGAAAAUUAACUUUUUGCUGAUAUGUGUGUAUAACCAUUUGAUAUCCAUGUGGACAUUGCUCUCUUGUUCUCUAGCUGGUUUCAUACAUAGAUAGAUUCGAUAGAUCGUUUCCAAUUCAAUGCAGACAUAUAUCUCCAAUUCUCCUUGAUCAAUACAUACAUACAUUUUAGCUUAUAGCUUACCUUUCUUCUCUUUAUUAUUAUUACAUGGUACCAUUUAGAUCUGUAUGAUGCAUGAGUCAUGUUGAAAUCUUUUAGAAGCGGUUAUGUAUGUAGGAUGGAAAAGAAAAAGAAAGGAAAGGAAAGGAAAAUAUAGAGAUAAAGAAAAAUCAAUACGAAACUCAUUAAACCGUCCCAUACGGCAAGGUAUUGUAACGGGGUCGUAACACCCCCACGUACCAUUUCUCCCAGUGCUGUAUGAUGGCAUGGAACAGGCAAGGUGUGGCGGAAUAGCUGUGAGGAUGCGGCUC
This 588-nucleotide small RNA is filed under the name Histoplasma capsulatum var. duboisii H88. RNAcentral's name for it is "Histoplasma capsulatum H88 hypothetical RNA". The record is from RNAcentral. Lineage: Eukaryota; Fungi; Ascomycota; Eurotiomycetes; Onygenales; Ajellomycetaceae.